GUAUUGAUUGUGCAUUAUCACAAAUAGUAAGACAUUCUACACAUGCAGUGGUUUUGUAUAAAAACGCAAAUGCCCCCUUUUGGAACAAACCAAAAGGAGAGCACCCACGCGGUGAUUCACAAAGGGGUGAGAUGGAUUAUGUGUGAGAGCACCAAGGUGUGCACGACCUUUUCAAAAGUCAGCGACAACCCCAGCACCUCCAUUGUAUGAUAAUGAUCCUUCCGCAGGUUCACCUACGGAAA
RNAcentral lists this unclassified non-coding RNA (242 nucleotides) under uncultured fungus. RNAcentral's name for it is "sequence contains ITS1". The record is from RNAcentral. Lineage: Eukaryota; Fungi.